Molecule: ribosomal RNA, 509 nt
Filed under: Carabhydrus niger
Lineage: Eukaryota; Metazoa; Arthropoda; Insecta; Coleoptera; Dytiscidae
Description: partial 16S ribosomal RNA
Rfam family: Bacterial large subunit ribosomal RNA (bases 382-509)
Source: RNAcentral
GUCCUUUAGAUUUAGAAUUUAAGGUUUAAUCUGCCCACUGAGUAAUUUAAUGGCCGCAGUAAUUUGACUGUGCAAAGGUAGCAUAAUCAUUAGUUUUUUAAUUAAAAGCUUGAAUGAAUGAUUGGACGAAAUAAAAUCUGUCUUUACAUAAAAUAUAGAAUUUAAUUUUUAAGUAAAAAAGCUUAAAUAUUAGUAAAAGACGAGAAGACCCUAUAGAUCUUUAUAUAAUAUAGUUUAUUUUUAAUUAAGAUUAUUUAAUGAAUUAGAUUUUAUUAUAUUUUAUUGGGGUAAUAAAAAGAUUAAUUAAAUUCUUUAUUUAUUUUACAAAAAUUCUUGAAUUAGUGAUCCUUUAUUAUGGAUUUAAGAUUAAGUUACCUUAGGGAUAACAGCGUAAUUUUUUUAGAGAGUUCUUAUCGAUAAAAAAGUUUGCGACCUCGAUGUUGGAUUAAAAAUUAAUUUUAGGUGUAGUAGUUUAAAAUUUUGGUCUGUUCGACCAUUGAAUUUUUACA